RNAcentral lists this long non-coding RNA (264 nucleotides) under Elaeis guineensis (African oil palm). RNAcentral describes it as "long non-coding RNA (EGUI_LNC059762)". The record is from RNAcentral. Lineage: Eukaryota; Viridiplantae; Streptophyta; Magnoliopsida; Arecales; Arecaceae.
GCCGGUGGAUCCUAUCCCAUUAUAGAAGCUCGUCUGAGAUCCGACUACGAAGAAGCUCGAUCGAAGUCUACUUGUAAUAGAAGUUCGAAAGAAAUUUGUUUACAGUAGAGGCUCGAAUGGAAUUUGCUUACGAUAGAUAUCUGGGGUAGACCAUCCGCUGUAGGAGUUCGGAGUAGACCGCUUGUAGUAGAAGUUUGGAGUAGACCGCUCGUGAUAGAAGUUCGGAGUAGACCGCCCGUGGUAGAAGUUCGGCUCUCACAGGAG